RNAcentral lists this ribosomal RNA (445 nucleotides) under uncultured bacterium. RNAcentral's name for it is "partial 16S ribosomal RNA". It matches the Rfam family "Bacterial small subunit ribosomal RNA", at positions 354 to 796 of the family's 1533-position model. The record is from RNAcentral.
GUGAGGAAUAUUGCACAAUGGAGGCAACUCUGACGCAGCCAUGCCGCGUGCAGGAAGAAGGCGCUACGCGUUGUAAACUGCUUUUAACCGGGAAGAAACCCCAGGACGUGUCCUGGGUUGACGGUACCGGAGGAAUAAGCACCGGCUAACUUCGUGCCAGCAGCCGCGGUAAUAUGAAGGGUGCAAGCGUUAUCCGGAUUCAUUGGGUUUAAAGGGUGCGUAGGCGGAGCGUUAAGUCAGUGGUGAAAUCCUGCAGCUUAACUGUAGACUUGCCAUUGAUACUGGCGCUCUUGAGUGCGCUUGAAGUGGGCGGAAUGUGCCGUGUAGCGGUGAAAUGCUUAGAUAUGGCACAGAACACCAAUUGCGAAGGCAGCUCACUAAGGCGAUACUGACGCUGAGGCACGAAAGCGUGGGGAUCGAACAGGAUUAGAUACCCUAGUAGUCC